GAUGAACGCUGGCGGCGUGCCUAAUACAUGCAAGUCGAGCGAACGGACGAGAAGCUUGCUUCUCUGAUGUUAGCGGCGGACGGGUGAGUAACACGUGGAUAACCUACCUAUAAGACUGGGAUAACUUCGGGAAACCGUCGCUAAUACCGGAUAAUAUUUUGAACCGCAUGGUUCAAAAGUGAAAGACGGUCUUGCUGUCACUUAUAGAUGGAUCCGCGCUGCAUUAGCUAGUUGGUAAGGUAACGGCUUACCAAGGCAACGAUGCAUAGCCGACCUGAGAGGGUGAUCGGCCACACUGGAACUGGGACACGGUCCAGACUCCUGCGGGAGGCACCAGUAGGGAAUCUUCCGCAAUGGGCGAAAGCCUGACGGAGCAACGCCGCGUGAGUGAUGAAGGUCUUCGGAUCGUAAAACUCUGUUAUUAGUGAAGAACAUAUGUGUAAGUAACUGUGCACAUCUUGACGGUACCUAAUCAGAAAGCCACGGCUAACUACGUG
RNAcentral lists this ribosomal RNA (497 nucleotides) under uncultured bacterium. Its description in RNAcentral is "partial 16S ribosomal RNA". It matches the Rfam family "Bacterial small subunit ribosomal RNA", at positions 28 to 507 of the family's 1533-position model. The record is from RNAcentral.